Molecule: ribosomal RNA, 662 nt
Filed under: Microbacterium pumilum
Lineage: Bacteria; Bacillati; Actinomycetota; Actinomycetes; Micrococcales; Microbacteriaceae
Description: bacterial SSU rRNA
Rfam family: Bacterial small subunit ribosomal RNA
Source: RNAcentral
GAUAAGCGCUGGAAACGGCGUCUAAUACCGGAUACGAGCUGCGAAGGCAUCUUCAGCAGCUGGAAAGAACUUCGGUCAGGGAUGAGCUCGCGGCCUAUCAGCUAGUUGGUGAGGUAACGGCUCACCAAGGCGUCGACGGGUAGCCGGCCUGAGAGGGUGACCGGCCACACUGGGACUGAGACACGGCCCAGACUCCUACGGGAGGCAGCAGUGGGGAAUAUUGCACAAUGGGCGAAAGCCUGAUGCAGCAACGCCGCGUGAGGGACGACGGCCUUCGGGUUGUAAACCUCUUUUAGCAGGGAGGAAGCGAAAGUGACGGUACCUGCAGAAAAAGCGCCGGCUAACUACGUGCCAGCAGCCGCGGUAAUACGUAGGGCGCAAGCGUUAUCCGGAAUUAUUGGGCGUAAAGAGCUCGUAGGCGGUUUGUCGCGUCUGCUGUGAAAACCCGAGGCUCAACCUCGGGCCUGCAGUGGGUACGGGCAGACUAGAGUGCGGUAGGGGAGAUUGGAAUUCCUGGUGUAGCGGUGGAAUGCGCAGAUAUCAGGAGGAACACCGAUGGCCAAGGCAGAUCUCUGGGCCGUAACUGACGCUAGGAGCGAAAGGGUGGGGAGCAAACAGGCUUAGAUACCCUGGGUAGUCCACCCCGUAAACGUUGGGAACUA